GUUUUUGUAGUGUAGUGGUUAUCAUGCUUGCCUCACACGUGAAAGGUCCCCAGUUCUCAACCGGGUAGGAACG
Non-coding RNA from Merluccius polli (Benguela hake), 73 nucleotides. NCBI's taxonomy places the organism in Eukaryota, Metazoa, Chordata, Actinopteri, Gadiformes, Merlucciidae. The record is from the annotation of a GenBank genome assembly.